UACCAAGGCUUGACAUAUAGGAGAACGAUCCAGAAAACAUGGUUUUUCCGCAAGGUAGUAAACACGUGGUGCAUGGUGGUUGUCAUCUCGUGUCGUGAGAAGUUGGGGUAAAUCCCCCAACAAGCGCAACCCCCUUUUUAUGUUUCCACCACCUAAAGGUGGGGACUCAUGGGAAACUGCCGGGGUCAACUCGGAGGAAGGUGGGGAUGACGUCAAAUCAUCAUGCCCCUUAUGUCUUGGGGUUCACCCAUGCUACAAUGGGUGGUACAAAGGGGUGCAAUACCGCGAGGUGGAGCGAAUCCCAAAAAACCGGUCCCAGUUCGGAAUGGGGUUUGCAACUUGACCUCCUGAAAUCGGAGUCGCUAGUAAUC
This 371-nucleotide ribosomal RNA is filed under the name uncultured bacterium. RNAcentral's name for it is "bacterial SSU rRNA". It matches the Rfam family "Bacterial small subunit ribosomal RNA", at positions 972 to 1343 of the family's 1533-position model. The record is from RNAcentral.